AGUGAACGCUGGCGGUAGGCCUAACACAUGCAAGUCGAACGGCAGCACAGUAAGAGCUUGCUCUUACGGGUGGCGAGUGGCGGACGGGUGAGGAAUACAUCGGAAUCUACUUUUUCGUGGGGGAUAACGUAGGGAAACUUACGCUAAUACCGCAUACGACCUACGGGUGAAAGCAGGGGAUCUUCGGACCUUGCGCGAUUGAAUGAGCCGAUGUCGGAUUAGCUAGUUGGCGGGGUAAAGGCCCACCAAGGCGACGAUCCGUAGCUGGUCUGAGAGGAUGAUCGGCCCCACUGGACCUGAGCAACGGUCCAGCCUCCUACGGGAGGCGGCGGUGGGGAAUUUUGGCAAAUGGGCGCAAGCCUGAUCCAGCCAUCCGGGGUGGGUGAAGAAGGCCUUCGGGUUGUAAAGCCCUUUUGCGGGGAAAGAAAACAAGCAGGUUAAUACCCGGCUGUUCUGCCGGUACCCAAAGAAUAGGACCCGGCUACUUUCUU
RNAcentral lists this ribosomal RNA (491 nucleotides) under uncultured bacterium. RNAcentral describes it as "partial 16S ribosomal RNA". It matches the Rfam family "Bacterial small subunit ribosomal RNA", at positions 29 to 506 of the family's 1533-position model. The record is from RNAcentral.